Molecule: ribosomal RNA, 446 nt
Filed under: uncultured bacterium
Lineage: Bacteria
Description: bacterial SSU rRNA
Rfam family: Bacterial small subunit ribosomal RNA
Source: RNAcentral
CCAGACUCCUACGGGAGGCAGCAGUGGGGAAUAUUGCACAAUGGGGGGAACCCUGAUGCAGCGACGCCGCGUGGGUGAAGGAGCACCUCGGUGCGUAAAGCCCUAUCGGCAGGGAAGAAACAGACGGUACCUGACUAAGAAGCCCCGGCUAACUACGUGCCAGCAGCCGCGGUAAUACGUAGGGGGCAAGCGUUAUCCGGAUUUACUGGGUGUAAAGGGAGCGUAGACGGCCGUUCAAGCCAGAUGUGAAAGCCCGGGGCUCAACCCCGGGACUGCAUUUGGAACUGUGCGGCUAGAGUGCAGGAGGGGCAGGCGGAAUUCCUGGUGUAGCGGUGAAAUGCGUAGAUAUCAGGAGGAACACCGGUGGCGAAGGCGGCCUGCUGGACUGCGACUGACGUUGAGGCCCGAAAGCGUGGGGAGCAAACAGGAUUAGAUACCCCGGUACC